AUUGAACGCUGGCGGCAGGCUUAACACAUGCAAGUCGAGCGGAGCGAGGGUGCUUGCACCUUAGCUUAGCGGCGGACGGGUGAGUAAUGCUUAGGAAUCUGCCUAUUAGUGGGGGACAACAUUACGAAAGGAAUGCUAAUACCGCAUACGCCCUACGGGGGAAAGCAGGGGAUCUUCGGACCUUGCGCUAAUAGAUGAGCCUAAGUCGGAUUAGCUAGUUGGUGGGGUAAAGGCCUACCAAGGCGACGAUCUGUAGCGGGUCUGAGAGGAUGAUCCGCCACACUGGGACUGAGACACGGCCCAGACUCCUACGGGAGGCAGCAGUGGGGAAUAUUGGACAAUGGGCGGAAGCCUGAUCCAGCCAUGCCGCGUGUGUGAAGAAGGCCUUUUGGUUGUAAAGCACUUUAAGCGAGGAGGAGGCUCUUAAGGUUAAUACCCUUGAUGAGUGGACGUUACUCGCAGAAUAAGCACCGGCUAACUCUGUGCCAGCCGCCGCGGUAA
Molecule: ribosomal RNA, 501 nt
Filed under: uncultured bacterium
Lineage: Bacteria
Description: partial 16S ribosomal RNA
Rfam family: Bacterial small subunit ribosomal RNA
Source: RNAcentral